UACGGAGGGUGCAAGCGUUACCCGGAAUCAUUGGGCGUAAAGCGUCCGUAGGCGGUCUAUUAAGUCGGAUAUAAAAUCUUGGAGCCCAACUCCAAGGCUUGUAUCUGAAACUGGUAGACUAGAGUCUUCCAAAGGUACGUGGAAUUCUGUGUGUAGGGGUAAAAUCCGUAGAUACACAGAGGAACACCAAAAGCGAAAGCAGCGUACUGGGGAAGUUCUGACGCUGAGGGACGAAAGCGUGGGGAGCGAACGGG
This 254-nucleotide unclassified non-coding RNA is filed under the name uncultured Candidatus Altimarinota bacterium. Its description in RNAcentral is "uncultured Candidatus Gracilibacteria bacterium contains 16S-23S intergenic spacer region". It matches the Rfam family "Bacterial small subunit ribosomal RNA", at positions 524 to 776 of the family's 1533-position model. Lineage: Bacteria; Candidatus Altimarinota. The record is from RNAcentral.